UGCAAUAUAGUUUAAAAAAAAUACUUAUUUUACACGUAAGAGUUUCCUGACUAUGGGUUUUGUGA
This 65-nucleotide transfer RNA is filed under the name Rhinebothrium reydai. RNAcentral's name for it is "tRNA-Val". Lineage: Eukaryota; Metazoa; Platyhelminthes; Cestoda; Rhinebothriidea; Rhinebothriidae. The record is from RNAcentral.